This 461-nucleotide ribosomal RNA is filed under the name uncultured soil bacterium. Its description in RNAcentral is "bacterial SSU rRNA". It matches the Rfam family "Bacterial small subunit ribosomal RNA", at positions 26 to 517 of the family's 1533-position model. The record is from RNAcentral.
AGAACGAGCGCUGGCGGCAUGCCUAAUACAUGCAAGUCGAACGAACUCUUCGGAGUUAGUGGCGCACGGGUGCGUAACGCGUGGGAAUCUGCCCUUGGGUUCGGAAUAACAGUUGGAAACGACUGCUAAUACCGGAUGAUGACGAAAGUCCAAAGAUUUAUCGCCCAGGGAUGAGCCCGCGUAGGAUUAGCUAGUUGGUGAGGUAAAGGCUCACCAAGGCGACGAUCCUUAGCUGGUCUGAGAGGAUGAUCAGCCACACUGGGACUGAGACACGGCCCAGACUCCUACGGGAGGCAGCAGUAGGGAAUAGUUGGACAAUGGGCGAAAGCCUGAUCCAGCAAUGCCGCGUGAGUGAUGAAGGCCUUAGGGUGUAAAGCGUACUUUUACCCGAGUAUGAAUAAUGACGUAAGUAGUCGGGAAGAAGUAACGCCCCGGUACUAACGUCCGUAGCCAGCGAGCCG